GACGAACGCUGGCGGCGUGCUUAACACAUGCAAGUCGAGCGGUAAGGCCCUUUCGGGGGUACACGAGCGGCGAACGGGUGAGUAACACGUGGGUGACCUGCCCUUAGCUCUGGGAUAAGCCUGGGAAACUGGGUCUAAUACCGGAUAUGACUCCAUGACGCAUGUUGUGGGGUGGAAAGCCUUGUGCGGCUAGGGAUGGGCCCGCGGCCUAUCAGCUUGUUGGUGGGGUGAUGGCCUACCAAGGCGACGACGGGUAGCCGGCCUGAGAGGGCGACCGGCCACACUGGGACUGAGACACGGCCCAGACUCCUACGGGAGGCAGCAGUGGGGAAUCUUGCGCAAUGGGCGAAAGCCUGACGCAGCGACGCCGCGUGAGGGAUGACGGCCUUC
Molecule: ribosomal RNA, 390 nt
Filed under: uncultured bacterium
Lineage: Bacteria
Description: bacterial SSU rRNA
Rfam family: Bacterial small subunit ribosomal RNA
Source: RNAcentral